UGAGCGCGGGGCGGUGUAUAGAAC
RNAcentral lists this non-coding RNA (24 nucleotides) under Arabidopsis thaliana (thale cress). The record is from RNAcentral. Lineage: Eukaryota; Viridiplantae; Streptophyta; Magnoliopsida; Brassicales; Brassicaceae.